GCAGUCGUGGCCGAGUGGUUAAGGCGAUGGACUAGAGAUCCAUUGAGGUCUCCCCGCGCCGGUUCGAAUCCUGUCGACUGCG
Non-coding RNA from Ixodes scapularis (black-legged tick), 82 nucleotides. The record is from Rfam. NCBI's taxonomy places the organism in Eukaryota, Metazoa, Arthropoda, Arachnida, Ixodida, Ixodidae.